GAUGAACGCUGGCGGCGUGCCUAAUACAUGCAAGUCGAGCGAACAGACGAGGAGCUUGCUCCUCUGACGUUAGCGGCGGACGGGUGAGUAACACGUGGAUAACCUACCUAUAAGACUGGGAUAACUUCGGGAAACCGGAUCUAAUACCGGAUAAUAUAUUGAACCGCAUGGUUCAAUAGUGAAAGACGGUUUUGCUGUCACUUAUAGAUGGAUCCGCGCCGCAUUAGCUAGUUGGUAAGGUAACGGCUUACCAAGGCGACGAUGCGUAGCCGACCUGAGAGGGUGAUCAGCCACACUGGAACUGAGACACGGUCCAGACUCCUACGGGAGGCAGCAGUAGGGAAUCUUCCGCAAUGGGCGAAAGCCUGACGGAGCCACGCCGCGUGAGUGAUGAAGGUCUUCGGAUCGUAAAACUCUGUUAUUAGGGAAGAACAAAUGUGUAAGUAACUAUGCACGUCUUGACGGUACCUAAUCAGAAAGCCACGGCUAACUACGUG
This 497-nucleotide ribosomal RNA is filed under the name uncultured bacterium. RNAcentral's name for it is "partial 16S ribosomal RNA". It matches the Rfam family "Bacterial small subunit ribosomal RNA", at positions 28 to 507 of the family's 1533-position model. The record is from RNAcentral.